This 2731-nucleotide long non-coding RNA is filed under the name Ovis aries (sheep). Its description in RNAcentral is "lncRNA (ENSOARG00000026477.1)". Lineage: Eukaryota; Metazoa; Chordata; Mammalia; Artiodactyla; Bovidae. The record is from RNAcentral.
ACGCGGGACGCGGCGGGGGAGGGGGCUCUCUCGCGAUACUUGCCGCUUCAUCCUCGGGGUCCCCCCCAUGGGGUCCCAACUGCGCCCGUCUGUUAAGAGACUCCUUCCGAGGACCAGCUCCUCUCCCAGCCAGCGCCGGCACCAGGCUCCCGAAGGCGCAGCCGGGUCGCGCCGCCACCUCGCGGGGUGCCCGCCCUGGGAUGGAGGAGGGGGCGGGGGUAGUCGUACAUAUUGAGAAGAUGACACCCCCUUUCCUUGAAAGCCUCGUAUUGAAUUUAAUUUAGCUGGGCCCCUUUUCCAGACGCUUGGGCGGGUUCUCAGCCUUGGUAUUCCAAAACUGGGCACUCUCAUCCUCUCAGCACACCCAGCGAGGCCUCUGAUGGGAGCCAGGUGCACGGAGCUGUGAGCCUUGGGGACCGUGGCGGUCCCAGAAGGCGUCAUGGGAGGCUGUCGGCGGCCCGCUGGGUGCGGGGUGGACCCCGCCGAGAGGCGCGAGAGUGAGGUCUGGGCCGCGUUGGCCCGCGGGAGCCACAGCAGCAUGGACGACGUGGCCGUCGUGAAGGAGGGCUGGCUGCACAAGCGAGGUCAGUGCCCGCGGGCCGGCCCGGCUCAGGGCCCCGAGUUGGGCCCGUGGCUCCUCAGGGGCUGGAGGCAGUGUGGGCUGUGGCUGCUGGACCAGCAGGGCCUCCCUGAACCCUGGGAGCAGCCCAGGGGCACGUCCGGGGCCCGACAUCCCUGCGGCCUGGGGGACACAAGCCCCCGCGGGGCCUCCUGGCUGGGAACGUGCACCCCAGGCCGGUGUGCAGCCCGUGGAGCUGCCGCCUGGCCCAGGCUGCGGGCGGGGAGAACCACCCGCUUUCCUGGAAGGCAGCAAGGACUGGGGCCUGUCCAAAGCCUGGCGCACUGGCGGCCCAGGGCACUGCCCGAGGGCUCCUGAGGGCAGGGCAGGGCUGGCGGGCCUGGCCCGGGGCCAGUCCCGGCUGGGCUGUGGGCAGGAGGGGGCUCCGCACUGCCCGGGGCCCGGCGUGCGGCAGGCUCACGCUGGUGCUGCCAGGCCCUGGCCCCUGCCCGGCCUGCCCCCUGCUCGCCCAUGUGCCCAGGGAGGGGCUCUCGGGGAGCUGGUGGGAUGGGAGCUUGUCCCGGGCCCCUCGCCUUGCGGCCCUGCUGCCUCGCUGCCUCCUGUCCCAUAGAGGCCGGACAGGCCCGGGGGGCAGGACAGGCCUGGGGUCGAGGUGUCCGAGGCGUUCAGGCAGGGCGUGCUCUCCUGCUCCAGGUCGGGGGCUGGUUAGUCACCACCUGCUCCCCCAACUUCCCCUUCCUGCAGACCGGCUCCAGCUCUGGCCGCCCCACACCAGCUAGCCGCUAGCCCCCACUCCUCAUGCAUGCCCUCCAGGGACGGUGUCCCCUCUCCACCUCAGGACCCCGCAGGACACUGGGAGGGGACCUCAGGCACAGGUGGGCAGUUGGGGAGCUGCAGCGAGAGCGGGUGUUCUGGGACGCUCAGGAGCCGCCCAGCGGAGCAGGCUGGGAAGCUCGGGAGAGGUGGAGAUGAGACCCCAGGCGCAGCAGGGGCGCGAAGCAGGGGUCACGGAUGUGGUCAGUGUGAGCUUUCAGAGCUCGCUCCAGCAGCGGUCAGGGGCACAGUGCUCGGCCUCUAGACGGAGGUGGGGCAGCUGCAGGGGCCUGUGGUCCGUGGCCGGCCCCCCAGGGCUUCCUGCAGCGGCUGGCCCUCUGGGUCCCCUCCCCCAGCAUUGACCCUUUCCUGGUCUCCCCGCCCCCCCAUCCCUGCCAGGUCCCGCCCUGUCUCCUCACCCCGUCGCCCUCUUUGGGGUCAGGCCUGAGCCUGCCUGGGUCUCUGCCGUCCCCUCUGCGCCUCGCGGAAGCGCAGGCACACACUGGGGUCCAGGGCCUCUGAGCCCUUGACAAGCGUUGGUCGACUGGCUGACCAGGGACUGACCUGGGAGAUGCCUGGGGCUUGGGGCUGCCGGGGCCCCCAGCCCAGCUCCUGGGGUGUCCACUGGCCAGCCCGGUUUGGGUGGAAGCGCCCCUCUGACGCCUGGGUGAGUCUGAGUGGGCCACUCGGGGUGUGUGCCUUCUGGAGGGGCGGGGGCAUCCAGGCAGCGCCCCAUCGCCAUGCCCUUCUCCACGGGCAAGUGUGUUGCGUCCUCAGGCCUUUGUGUCCCCGUCUGUGCGGUGGGAGCAGUCGGGGGCGGGCCCCCGGACCCUGGGCGGAGCGCAGCGAGCCUCAGGCCUGACAGAGGUCCUGCGUCUGCCCUGCCUCUGGCUCUCAUGCCCGCUGGGUGGUGUGCGGCGUGGCGGGGCACGCUGGCCCCUGUGGCCCAGGAGGGGCCGUGCCGCGCGCAGGGGGUGCCCGCGCGCAGGGGGUGCCCGGGUCCUCGCCCACGGCCCCCCCGGGGACCCUGGUGUCACUACCAGCUUGUUCGCUAAUCUGUGCGUCUUCCACAAAUCUGUUCUUCCCCGAAGUGUGGGCUCUUCCUGUGUGCUGCGCUUUGAGGUGAAAGGGCAAAAGGGGCAGAGGUCACAGCCGGGAUCGGGGGAUCCAGAGUGACCCCGAUUCGGGGCUGGAGGGCUGUGGUGGUGCCAUUUCUUGGGCUGCGGGGGGGACUUGUGUUUCCGUCCUGGGGGUCCGCAGGUGGGUGGCUGUGUGCGCCCAGCCCCUCAAAGUGGGCGGGAGGGGGCGGGGGGGGCCGCUCGUGUGUGCCCCCCGCUC